This 1241-nucleotide ribosomal RNA is filed under the name uncultured Chloroflexota bacterium. RNAcentral describes it as "uncultured Chloroflexi bacterium partial 16S ribosomal RNA". It matches the Rfam family "Bacterial small subunit ribosomal RNA", at positions 1 to 1268 of the family's 1533-position model. The record is from RNAcentral. Lineage: Bacteria; Bacillati; Chloroflexota.
GCCCUUAGAGUUUGAUCCUGGCUCAGAUUGAACGCUGGCGGCAGGCCUAACACAUGCAAGUCGAGCGGUAACAGAGAGAAGCUUGCUUCUCUGCUGACGAGCGGCGGACGGGUGAGUAAUACUUGGGAAUUUGCCUUUAGGCGGGGGACAACCACGGGAAACUGUGGCUAAUACCGCAUAAUGUCUACGGACCAAAGUGGGGGACCUUCGGGCCUCACACCUAAAGAUGAGCCCAAGCGGGAUUAGCUAGUUGGUGGGGUAAAGGCUCACCAAGGCGACGAUCCCUAGCUGUUCUGAGAGGAUGAUCAGCCACACUGGGACUGAGACACGGCCCAGACUCCUACGGGAGGCAGCAGUGGGGAAUAUUGCCCAAUGGACGAAAGUCUGAGGCAGCAACGCCGCGUGUGCGAAGGACGGCCUUCGGGUUGUAAAGCACUUUUGGCGGGGAAGAGGAAGGACAGUACCCGCAGAAUAAGCCUCAGACUAACUCGUGCCAGCAGCGCGGUAAUAGUAGGAGGCGAGCGUUAUCCGAAUUUACUGGGCGUAAAGCGCGUGCAGGCGGUAACGCAAGUUGGAUGUGAAAGCGCUUGGCUUAACUGGGAGAGGUCGUUCAAAACUGCGUAACUAGAGAGUGAUAGAGGGAGGUAGAAUUCCGAGUGUAGUGGUGAAAUGCGUAGAUAUUCGGAGGAAUACCAGAGACGAAGGCGCCUCCUGGAUCACAUCUGGCGCUGAGACGCGAAAGCUAGGGUAGCAAACGGGAUUAGAGACCCCGGUAGUCCUAGCUGUAAACGAUGUAGACUAGACGUUAGAGGAGUAAAAUCUUUUAGUGUCAAAGCAAACGCGAUAAGUCUACCGCCUGGGGACUACGGCCGCAAGGCUAAAACUCAAACGAAUUGGCGGGGAGGCGCACAACCAGUGGAGCAUGCGGUUUAAUUCGAUAUGAAGCGAUGAAUCUCACCUGGACUUGACAUGUACUUGCAUCCCGGCAGAAACGUCGGGAGCCUUCGAGGGUAGUACACAGCUGUUGCAUGGCUGUCGUCAGCUCGUGACGUGAGUUGUUCUCUUAAGUGAGGUAACGAGCGCAACCCCUAUCCUGUGUUAUUGUGUCACAGGAGACUGCUCAGCAUUAUUUUUGUUGGGAGGAAGGAGGGGACGACGUCAAGUCAGCAUGACGUUAUGUCCAGGGCUACACGCAUCCUACAAUGACAAGUACAACGGGUUGCCAAACCGCGAGGUGGAGC